AUUGAACGCUGGCGGCAUGCCUUACACAUGCAAGUCGAACGGCAGCGCGGGAGCAAUCCUGGCGGCGAGUGGCGAACGGGUGAGUAAUACAUCGGAACGUGCCCAAUCGUGGGGGAUAACGCAGCGAAAGCUGUGCUAAUACCGCAUACGAUCUACGGAUGAAAGCUGGGGAUCGCAAGACCUUGCGCGAAGGGAGCGGCCGAUGGCAGAUUAGGUAGUUGGUGAGGUAAAGGCUCACCAAGCCUUCGAUCUGUAGCUGGUCUGAGAGGACGACCAGCCACACGGGGACUGAGACACGGCCCAGACUCCUACGGGAGGUAGCAGUGGGGAAUUUUGGACAAUGGGCGAAAGCCUGAUCCAGCCAUGCCGCGUGCAGGAUGAAGGCCUUCGGGUGGUAAACUGCUUUUGUACGGAACGAAACGGUCUUUUCUAAUAAAGAAGGCUAAUGACGGUACCGUAAGAAUAAGCACCGGCUAACUACGUG
Molecule: ribosomal RNA, 484 nt
Filed under: uncultured bacterium
Lineage: Bacteria
Description: partial 16S ribosomal RNA
Rfam family: Bacterial small subunit ribosomal RNA
Source: RNAcentral